UACGGAGGGUGCAAGCGUUAUCCGGAUUCACUGGGUUUAAAGGGUGCGUAGGUGGGUCUGUAGGUCAGUGGUGAAAUCUUCGAGCUUAACUCGGAAACUGCCAUUGAUACUAUAGAUCUUGAAUUUUCUGGAGGUAAGCGGAAUAUGUCAUGUAGCGGUGAAAUGCUUAGAUAUGACAUAGAACACCAAUUGCGAAGGCAGCUUACUACGGGAACAUUGACACUGAGGCACGAAAGCGUGGGGAUCAAACAGG
This 253-nucleotide ribosomal RNA is filed under the name uncultured bacterium. RNAcentral describes it as "partial 16S ribosomal RNA". It matches the Rfam family "Bacterial small subunit ribosomal RNA", at positions 524 to 776 of the family's 1533-position model. The record is from RNAcentral.